UAAUACAGAGGGUGCAAGCGUUAAUCGGAAUUACUGGGCGUAAAGCGUGCGUAGACGGUCAUGUAAGUCGGGUGUGAAAGCCCCGGGCUCAACCUGGGAAUUGCAUUCGAGACUGCAUGGCUAGGAUGCGGAAGAGGGAAGCGGAAUUUCCGGUGUAGCGGUGAAAUGCGUAGAUAUCGGAAGGAACACCAGUGGCGAAAGCGGCUUCCUGGUCCAGCAUCGACGUUCAGGCACGAAAGCGUGGGGAGCAAACA
Molecule: ribosomal RNA, 254 nt
Filed under: uncultured bacterium
Lineage: Bacteria
Description: partial 16S ribosomal RNA
Rfam family: Bacterial small subunit ribosomal RNA
Source: RNAcentral